This 239-nucleotide long non-coding RNA is filed under the name Capsicum annuum. Its description in RNAcentral is "long non-coding RNA (CANN_LNC006509)". Lineage: Eukaryota; Viridiplantae; Streptophyta; Magnoliopsida; Solanales; Solanaceae. The record is from RNAcentral.
GGGACCGUAUUUCCCUUUCUUAUAGGCUGUUUUUCUUGUAGUGCAAGUGUCUCCGGAGUAUUCUUAAACCCCAGUUCUCCUACAAAUCUCAGUAAUCAAAGAGGGGAAGAAUAUAUGCAUACCGCCUUGGUUCUUGAAGAAUUUCAUAUCAGAAACCACAAGCUGACCAACAUUCAGAGGAAUGUCGUCCAGAAUGCAAACGACCAUCUGGUCUGAAAGUCGAGGACUAAUGUCAUGUG